Molecule: ribosomal RNA, 485 nt
Filed under: uncultured bacterium
Lineage: Bacteria
Description: partial 16S ribosomal RNA
Rfam family: Bacterial small subunit ribosomal RNA
Source: RNAcentral
AUUGAACGCUGGCGGCAUGCCUUACACAUGCAAGUCGAACGGCAGCACGGGUGCUUGCACCUGGUGGCGAGUGGCGAACGGGUGAGUAAUACAUCGGAACAUGUCCUGUAGUGGGGGAUAGCCCGGCGAAAGCCGGAUUAAUACCGCAUACGAUCUACGGAUGAAAGCGGGGGACUUCGGGCCCUCGCCCUAUGGGGUUGCCGAUGGCUGAUUAGCUAGUUGGUGGGGUAAAGGCCUACCAAGGCGACGAUCAGUAGCUGGUCUGAGAGGACGACCAGCCACACUGGGACUGAGACACGGCCCAGACUCCUACGGGAGGCAGCAGUGGGGAAUUUUGGACAAUGGGCGAAAGCCUGAUCCAGCAAUGCCGCGUGUGUGAAGAAGGCCUUCGGGUUGUAAAGCACUUUUGUCCGGAAAGAAAUCCUUGGCCCUAAUACGGUCGGGGGAUGACGGUACCGGAAGAAUAAGCACCGGCUAACUACGUG